Long non-coding RNA from Hippopotamus amphibius kiboko, 1592 nucleotides. RefSeq lists it as uncharacterized. The transcript has 4 exons. Lineage: Eukaryota; Metazoa; Chordata; Mammalia; Artiodactyla; Hippopotamidae. The record is from RefSeq and is a predicted model, not a curated record.
GCCGCUCGGCCUCCCGCCGCGCGAGCGCCCCUCGGAGCCCUGCCCCUGGCCCGCCCCUGCCAGGCUUUUCGGGGCUUUUCUGUGGACCGCGGCGGGCGGGGGUGUCGCGUGGGGGCGGGGGCAGCUCCGCGACUCUCCUUGGCCACGCCAGGCAAGGACGCCGUGCCUCCGGGUGGGGGGGCGGGUCGGCGGUCAGGAGCGCGCGCGCGGCUCCACGCCGCCCCAUCCCAGACCCUCGGGGACCGGCAGAGGAAGGGUCUCAUCUGCCCUGACCUGGAGGCGGUGAGGACGGACACUGCUUCGUCCCCAGGGCUUCGGCUGCCUUAGAGGUGGACUGGGAGGACCUGGGAGGGGCGCCGGAGCGAAGAGGCUUCCGUCGCUGAAAACUAUUCACGCCGCACCAAAGAGGCAGCUACAGGGUGGACCCGUCUCGGCUCUGAUUCAUCCCUCCCCCACCUUCCCGCAGAUGUGGCCCUGGGGCAGCCCUCCGCAUCGCCCGGGAAGAGGGCCGAGGCUGGACAAAGGGAACAGCACCCCCGCAAGCCCACCUGGUGCAGCGGUGGGCUGCACUUCCCCCGGGGAGGAGGGGCACACACCUUCCUCGCUCCUGUGUUCAGGAGGCCCGAGACCGGAGGCCCUCCGUCCCCUCCUGCCUGACCGUCCCCCACUCAGGACGCCUCUCCAGGGCCAGGGGACGCCAGGGCAGGCCUGCCUGACCUGCCUGGAUGUGGAGCGGGAGCACAUCACCUACAGACAGCGCACCUCUGAGUCCUAGGCAAGCUGCCCCUGGGCCUGCAGGUGCCACAAAGGCAUCUCCGACACCUCGGACACCCAGAGUGGACCUGUCUCCCCCCGGAUCCAGCCUUCCGACUGGGUCUUUGCCCUGAUAAUACUGAACUGACAACUCGCCGUGUGAUGAGUCCGCGUGGCCUUCGCGGGCGUCCCCUGCGCUGCUCCGUGGCCAGGGCCAAAAAGGUGACAGUGCAGGCCUCACCCUAAUCUUCAGACUCCUGCAACAUAGACCUCGGCUUCAGGAUCGUUUGUGGUGGCACGCGGGCUCUGUUGCCCCCAAAGCAUGUGGGAUCCUAGUUCCUCCACCAGGGAUGGAGCCCGAAUCCCCUGCGUUGGGAGGCCGAUGCUUCACCCCUGGAGCACCAGGGACGUCCCCCGUAUCUGUUUUACACAUAGUGCUUUGCAUCUAUUUUCCACGUUUCAUUGAGAAGGCCUUUCGUGCGACCGAACACACGCGGUUGCUGAAGACGGGGCUCUUCCUCCCGGAUGGCGGAUUUCUGUCUGGCCGGCGCGCCGCGACAGCGUGUGGGUGACCGGCUGCCCCUGCCCGCGCCCGGCCCCGCCGUGGUCCCCGGCCGGGCUCCCCUUCCCCCGCGCGGAGAUGCGGGGGUACCCCCGCACCCCGCGUGCACAGCCUGAGCCCAGCGACCGCUCCCGCCCUGGCCUGCGGCGCGCCCGGGGACGGGGGACCGGCCUCGGGUUCGGGUCUGGCGCCUUGGCGACCGCGGGCAUCGCGGGGAGGGACGCGCCUGCGGACCUGGCCCGGCCCAGCCUGCGCUCCCCGCGCGCGGGCGCUGCCG